This 552-nucleotide small RNA is filed under the name Pan troglodytes (chimpanzee). Its description in RNAcentral is "processed transcript". The record is from RNAcentral. Lineage: Eukaryota; Metazoa; Chordata; Mammalia; Primates; Hominidae.
AAGAAAAUAAAAAUAACCGGCCGGGUGCAGUGGCUCACGCCUGUAAUCCCAGCACUUUGGGAGGCCGAGGCGGGCGGAUCACGAGGUCAGGAGAUCAAGACCAUCCUGGCCAACACGGUGAAAUCCCAUCUCUACUAAAAAUACAAAAAAAUUAGCCAGGCAUGGUGGCGGGCGCCUGUAGUCCCAGCUACUCGGGAGGCUGAGCUGACUUUGGUGUGUCUGCCAAGAAUCUGAAGACUCUACAGAAACGAGAUUCCUUCAUCGGCACGCCUUACUGGAUGGCCCCCGAGGUGGUCAUGUGUGAGACCAUGAAGGACACGCCCUACGACUACAAAGCCGACAUCUGGUCCCUGGGCAUCACGCUGAUUGAGAUGGCCCAGAUCGAGCCGCCACACCACGAGCUCAACCCCAUGCGGGUUCUGCUAAAGAUCGCCAAGUCGGACCCUCCCACGCUGCUCACGCCCUCUAAGUGGUCUGUAGAGUUCCGUGACUUCCUGAAGAUAGCCCUGGAUAAGAACCCAGAAACCCGACCCAGUGCCGCGCAGCUGCUGG